GUGCCAGCCGCCGCGGUAAUACCGGCAGCACGAGUGAUGACCGCUAUUAUUGGGCCUAAAGCGUCCGUAGCUGGCCAUCCAAGUUCAUCGGGAAAUCCGCGCGCUUAACGCGCGGGCGUCCGGUGGAAACUGGAUGGCUUGGGACCGGAAGACCAGAGGGGUACGUCCGGGGUAGGAGUGAAAUCCCGUAAUCCUGGACGGACCACCGGUGGCGAAAGCGCCUCUGGAAGACGGAUCCGACGGUGAGGGACGAAAGCUCGGGUCACGAACCGGAUUAGAAACCCUUGUAGUCC
Molecule: ribosomal RNA, 293 nt
Filed under: uncultured bacterium
Lineage: Bacteria
Description: partial 16S ribosomal RNA
Rfam family: Archaeal small subunit ribosomal RNA
Source: RNAcentral